Molecule: ribosomal RNA, 557 nt
Filed under: uncultured Novosphingobium sp.
Lineage: Bacteria; Pseudomonadati; Pseudomonadota; Alphaproteobacteria; Sphingomonadales; Sphingomonadaceae
Description: bacterial SSU rRNA
Rfam family: Bacterial small subunit ribosomal RNA
Source: RNAcentral
ACGGGUGCGUAACGCGUGGGAAUCUGCCCUUGGGUUCGGAAUAACAGUUAGAAAUGACUGCUAAUACCGGAUGAUGUCUUCGGACCAAAGAUUUAUCGCCCAAGGAUGAGCCCGCGUAAGAUUAGGUAGUUGGUGGGGUAAUGGCCUACCAAGCCGACGAUCUUUAGCUGGUCUGAGAGGAUGAUCAGCCACACUGGGACUGAGACACGGCCCAGACUCCUACGGGAGGCAGCAGUGGGGAAUAUUGGACAAUGGGCGAAAGCCUGAUCCAGCAAUGCCGCGUGAGUGAUGAAGGCCUUAGGGUUGUAAAGCUCUUUUACCAGGGAUGAUAAUGACAGUACCUGGAGAAUAAGCUCCGGCUAACUCCGUGCCAGCAGCCGCGGUAAUACGGAGGGAGCUAGCGUUGUUCGGAAUUACUGGGCGUAAAGCGUACGUAGGCGGUUACUCAAGUCAGAGGUGAAAGCCCGGGGCUCAACCCCGGAACUGCCUUUGAAACUAGGUAGCUAGAGUCUUGGAGAGGUUAGUGGAAUUCCGAGUGUAGAGGUGAAAUUCGUAGA